CGCUUUUUAGUACUAAACAAAUACGUCGAUUUUCAAAAUCGAAAAUAAAAUUAUUUUUUAAGAGCGU
RNAcentral lists this transfer RNA (67 nucleotides) under Salpa thompsoni. RNAcentral's name for it is "tRNA-Trp". The record is from RNAcentral. Lineage: Eukaryota; Metazoa; Chordata; Thaliacea; Salpida; Salpidae.